AUUGAACGCUGGCGGCAGGCUUAACACAUGCAAGUCGAACGAUGAAGAUAUAGCUUGCUAUAUCGGAUUAGUGGCGGACGGGUGAGUAACACUUAGGAAUCUACCUUUUAGCGGGGGAUAGCUCGGGGAAACUCGAAUUAAUACCGCAUAAUUUCUACGGAAUAAAGAGGGCUUUUAGCUCUCACUAGAAGAUGAGCCUAAGUAAGAUUAGCUAGUUGGUGGGGUAAAAGCCUACCAAGGCGACGAUCUUUAGCUGGUCUGAGAGGAUGAUCAGCCACACUGGGACUGAGACACGGCCCAGACUCCUACGGGAGGCAGCAGUGGGGAAUAUUGGACAAUGGGGGCAACCCUGAUCCAGCCAUGCCGCGUGUGUGAAGAAGGCCUUUUGGUUGUAAAGCACUUUAAGCAGUGAAGAAGACCUAUUGGUUAAUACCCAAUAGCGAUGACAUUAACUGCAGAAUAAGCACCGGCUAACUCUGUGCCAGCAGCCGCGGUAAUACAGAGGGUGCAAGCGUUAAUCGGAAUUACUGGGCGUAAAGCGAGCGUAGGUGGUUAAAUAAGUCAGAUGUGAAAGCCCUGGGCUCAACCUAGGAACGGCAUCUGAAACUAUUUAACUAGAGUAGGUGAGAGGGAAGUAGGAUUUCAGGUGUAGCGGUGAAAUGCGUAGAGAUCUGAAGGAGUACCGAUGGCGAAGGCAGCUUCCUGGCAUCAUACUGACACUGAGGCUCGAAAGCGUGGGUAGCAAACAGG
Molecule: ribosomal RNA, 750 nt
Filed under: uncultured bacterium
Lineage: Bacteria
Description: bacterial SSU rRNA
Rfam family: Bacterial small subunit ribosomal RNA
Source: RNAcentral